GUGUGCUAAUACCGCAUACGCUCUGAGGAGGAAAGCGGGGGACCUUCGGGCCUCGCGUUAUUCGAGCGGCCGACGUCUGAUUAGCUAGUUGGUGGGGUAAAGGCUCACCAAGGCGACGAUCAGUAGCGGGUCUGAGAGGAUGAUCCGCCACACUGGGACUGAGACACGGCCCAGACUCCUGCGGGAGGCAGCAGUGGGGAAUUUUGGACAAUGGGCGAAAGCCUGAUCCAGCCAUGCCGCGUGAGUGAAGAAGGCCUUCGGGUUGUAAAGCUCUUUUGUCCGGGAGGAAAUCCCGCAACCUAAUACGUUGCGGGGAUGACAGUACUGGAAGAAUAAGCACCGGCUAACUACGUGCCAGCAGCCGCGGUAAUACGUAGGGUGCAAGCGUUAAUCGGAAUUACUGGGCGUAAAGCGUGCGCAGGCGGUUUGAUAAGUCAGAUGUGAA
RNAcentral lists this ribosomal RNA (445 nucleotides) under uncultured bacterium. RNAcentral's name for it is "bacterial SSU rRNA". It matches the Rfam family "Bacterial small subunit ribosomal RNA", at positions 158 to 598 of the family's 1533-position model. The record is from RNAcentral.